RNAcentral lists this non-coding RNA (152 nucleotides) under Ctenophora environmental sample. Lineage: Eukaryota; Metazoa; Ctenophora. The record is from RNAcentral.
AAAUCAAACGGACAGAGCAACCACAAAAGCAGUUCUUCAUGUGUGGCCUGUUCUUCUUCUUUUUUUUUCUUUUUUUUUCACUGCCUGCCAUUACAAUAUAGCCCACCCAAAUCUGCGUGAGGCGUAGAAGGUAGAGAGGUAGAGGUAGCGUA